GUACCUUCCUUGCAACAGCUGAAUUGCCUUCUUGGGAAUAUCCGAAUGCGCCACAAGUACUCGUGGCUUAGACAUGCUGACAGGGGAACUGUCACUGGUUGCAAAGCUAAACGGGCUCUAAUAGACAGCCGCAACGAUCUCAGUAUUUAGCUCCCGAAGAUUGGCAAACGCAGUCUACUGCGUAAGUCGAGAUGGUUCCUCAGUAACAGCGUGUUGUGUUCGUGUUUGUCGUUUACUUUCAGCCUAUGUGGACGAAAGUGUGUAACAGAUAAGGAGAUAAAUGAUAACGUAAUCUGCAACAAAAUCUGGAGUGCAAGGGUUCUAAAGUUAAAACUCACAGAGCGAAACCAGCAUGAUGCAAAAAUUGAUGUUCGAUCUAUCACGUUUUAUAUAUGGACAACUGCUGUUGAUUCCUGAACCAUGAACACGCGGCUUUGCCUUUUGAACUAACUCCAGUCUGCUCGGAAAACGGACUCCAAGCCCAUAAACAUGGCAACAGUGCAAAUCACUGUUCACAUGUCUCUUAACUGUUCAUAGCUUUGAAGGAUAAGGCAGAAUUUUUUCGCAGGGAUGCAACAUUUGAAUAAACACCAGGGAUCCCUGGUCUGCCACAUCCUCGCCCAAAAGAAACAAGUCCAACCAAGGUGCCGUUUACUGUCAGUGGCCCACCAGAAUCUCCCUAAAAUAGAAACACUCAUUAUUUGUUGACUAAGAACAUUAUUGAAAGUCAAGAGGGAAAAUAUGAGUUUCCUUGCAUUUGUAAACAAUGAUUCUAUUCACAAUUAUUAAUUUGUUCCACAUAGUUUAAAAAUGGAACACUCUAUGGAAAAAAAUGUUUUUAUUAUAGUACACCAGACUCAGUACAGAUGUAUGAAAAAGAAGCCAUCAAACAAUUUUCAUAAGAGUAAAUGUCAAUAACUGAAAUCUUAAACCUUUUUAUUGGUGUGUAUGUAAAUUGUAAAAGCUAUUUAAAGUAAUAAAAAUCUAUGAUGAAUGGUA
Long non-coding RNA from Schistocerca piceifrons (Central American locust), 999 nucleotides. RefSeq lists it as uncharacterized. NCBI's taxonomy places the organism in Eukaryota, Metazoa, Arthropoda, Insecta, Orthoptera, Acrididae. The record is from RefSeq and is a predicted model, not a curated record. The transcript is spliced from 3 exons.